Molecule: ribosomal RNA, 403 nt
Filed under: uncultured bacterium
Lineage: Bacteria
Description: partial 16S ribosomal RNA
Rfam family: Bacterial small subunit ribosomal RNA
Source: RNAcentral
AUUGAACGCUGGCGGCAGGCCUAACACAUGCAAGUCGAGCGAGCGGCGGACGGGUGAGUAAUGUAUGGGGACUGCCCGAUAGAGGGGGAUAACUACUGGCAACGGUAGCUAAUACCGCAUACUAUCGGAUAACCCAUAUGGGAUUAGCUAGUUGGUGAGGUAAUGGCUCACCAAGGCGACGAUCCCUAGCUGGUCUGAGAGGAUGCUCAGCCACACUGGGACUGAGACACGGCCCAGACUCCUACGGAGGCAGCAGUGGGGAAUAUUGCACAAUGCGCGCAAGCGCGCCCCAGGAACGCCGCGUGAAGGAAGACUGUCUUAGGAUUGAAAACUUCUUUGGACAGGGACGCGGUACCUGUAGAAUAAGCCACGGCUAACUACGUGCCAGCAGCCGCGGUAAUAC